AAAUUGAAGAGUUUGAUCAUGGCUCAGAUUGAACGCUGGCGGCAGGCCUAACACAUGCAAGUCGAACGGUAACAGGAAGCAGCUUGCUGCUUUGCUGACGAGUGGCGGACGGGUGAGUAAUGUCUGGGAAACUGCCUGAUGGAGGGGGAUAACUACUGGAAACGGUAGCUAAUACCGCAUAACGUCGCAAGACCAAAGAGGGGGACCUUCGGGCCUCUUGCCAUCGGAUGUGCCCAGAUGGGAUUAGCUAGUAGGUGGGGUAACGGCUCACCUAGGCGACGAUCCCUAGCUGGUCUGAGAGGAUGACCAGCCACACUGGAACUGAGACACGGUCCAGACUCCUACGGGAGGCAGCAGUGGGGAAUAUUGCACAAUGGGCGCAAGCCUGAUGCAGCCAUGCCGCGUGUAUGAAGAAGGCCUUCGGGUUGUAAAGUACUUUCAGCGGGGAGGAAGGGAGUAAAGUUAAUACCUUUGCUCAUUGACGUUACCCGCAGAAGAAGCACCGGCUAACUCCGUGCCAGCAGCCGCGGUAAUACGGAGGGUGCAAGCGUUAAUCGGAAUUACUGGGCGUAAAGCGCACGCAGGCGGUUUGUUAAGUCAGAUGUGAAAUCCCCGGGCUCAACCUGGGAACUGCAUCUGAUACUGGCAAGCUUGAGUCUCGUAGAGGGGGUAGAAUUCCAGGUGUAGCGGUGAAAUGCGUAGAGAUCUGGAGGAAUACCGGUGGCGAAGGCGGCCCCCUGGACGAAGACUGACGCUCAGGUGCGAAAGCGUGGGGAGCAAACAGGAUUAGAUACCCUGGUAGUCCACGCCGUAAACGAUGUCGACUUGGAGGUUGUGCCCUUGAGGCGUGGCUUCCGGAGCUAACGCGUUAAGUCGACCGCCUGGGGAGUACGGCCGCAAGGUUAAAACUCAAAUGAAUUGACGGGGGCCCGCACAAGCGGUGGAGCAUGUGGUUUAAUUCGAUGCAACGCGAAGAACCUUACCUGGUCUUGACAUCCACGGAAGUUUUCAGAGAUGAGAAUGUGCCUUCGGGAGCCGUGAGACAGGUGCUGCAUGGCUGUCGUCAGCUCGUGUUGUGAAAUGUUGGGUUAAGUCCCGCAACGAGCGCAACCCUUAUCCUUUGUUGCCAGCGGUCCGGCCGGGAACUCAAAGGAGACUGCCAGUGAUAAACUGGAGGAAGGUGGGGAUGACGUCAAGUCAUCAUGGCCCUUACGACCAGGGCUACACACGUGCUACAAUGGCGCAUACAAAGAGAAGCGACCUCGCGAGAGCAAGCGGACCUCAUAAAGUGCGUCGUAGUCCGGAUUGGAGUCUGCAACUCGACUCCAUGAAGUCGGAAUCGCUAGUAAUCGUGGAUCAGAAUGCCACGGUGAAUACGUUCCCGGGCCUUGUACACACCGCCCGUCACACCAUGGGAGUGGGUUGCAAAAGAAGUAGGUAGCUUAACCUUCGGGAGGGCGCUUACCACUUUGUGAUUCAUGACUGGGGUGAAGUCGUAACAAGGUAACCGUAGGGGAACCUGCGGUUGGAUCACCUCCUUACCUUAAAGAAGC
RNAcentral lists this ribosomal RNA (1553 nucleotides) under Escherichia coli. Its description in RNAcentral is "bacterial SSU rRNA". It matches the Rfam family "Bacterial small subunit ribosomal RNA". Lineage: Bacteria; Pseudomonadati; Pseudomonadota; Gammaproteobacteria; Enterobacterales; Enterobacteriaceae. The record is from RNAcentral.